RNAcentral lists this unclassified non-coding RNA (317 nucleotides) under uncultured fungus. RNAcentral describes it as "partial contains small subunit ribosomal RNA, internal transcribed spacer 1, and 5.8S ribosomal RNA". The stretch from base 1 to 73 matches the Rfam family "Eukaryotic small subunit ribosomal RNA", at positions 1759 to 1831 of the family's 1831-position model. Lineage: Eukaryota; Fungi. The record is from RNAcentral.
GCAAACUUGGUCAUUUAGAGGAAGUAAAAGUCGUAACAAGGUUUCCGUAGGUGAACCUGCGGAAGGAUCAUUAAAGAGAAGGGGGUUACACGCCCCCGGGGCUCCGGCCCUCCUCUUCACCCGUGAAUAUCUAUCUUCUGUUGCUUCGGGAGGCCUUGGGGUCGUACCUAUGGCGGCGGGGUCUCCCCGCCGGCGAGUGCCUACCGAUAGCCCCUAUUUUCACAUUCUGAAUUCAGUGUUGUCUGAGUGAAAACAAAAAAUCAAGCAAAACUUUCAACAACGGAUCUCUUGGUUCUGGCAUCGAUGAAGAACGCAGC